CACGUAGGCGGAUGUGUCAGUCAGGGGUGAAAUCCCGGGGCUCAACCUCGGAACUGCCUUUGAUACAGCACGUCUUGAGUCCGAUAGAGGUGGGUGGAAUUCCUAGUGUAGAGGUGAAAUUCGUAGAUAUUAGGAAGAACACCGGUGGCGAAGGCGGCCCACUGGAUCGGUACUGACGCUGAGGUGCGAAAGCGUGGGGAGCAAACA
This 207-nucleotide ribosomal RNA is filed under the name uncultured bacterium. Its description in RNAcentral is "partial 16S ribosomal RNA". It matches the Rfam family "Bacterial small subunit ribosomal RNA", at positions 568 to 774 of the family's 1533-position model. The record is from RNAcentral.